CAUUGGUGAGAAUCCAAUGCCCCGAAAACCUAAGGGUUCCUCCACAAGGUUCGUCCAUGGAGGGUGAGUUAGGGCCUAAGACCAGGCCGAAAGGCGUAGUCGAUGGACAACAAGUGAAUAUUCCUGUACUACCCCUUGUCGGUCCAUUCCAUUCUCUCUUAGAGACAAAGCUAAGAGUUGGCUUUCUUCUCUUUCUGCAAGAUCAAUUACUACAUGGAAUGAUAUGGCUCAGAAAUUUCUUGGUAAGUUCUUUUCACCAGCAAAGUUUGCGAAGAUGCGUAACAAUAUUACUAAUUUUAUACAGGUGGAUAAUGAAUCAUUAUAUGAAG
Non-coding RNA from Eucalyptus grandis, 329 nucleotides. The record is from Rfam. NCBI's taxonomy places the organism in Eukaryota, Viridiplantae, Streptophyta, Magnoliopsida, Myrtales, Myrtaceae.